This 484-nucleotide ribosomal RNA is filed under the name uncultured bacterium. RNAcentral describes it as "partial 16S ribosomal RNA". It matches the Rfam family "Bacterial small subunit ribosomal RNA", at positions 28 to 523 of the family's 1533-position model. The record is from RNAcentral.
GACGAACGCUGGCGGCGUGCUUAACACUUGCAAGUCGAACGAUGAAGCUGGAGCUUGCUCCGGUGGAUUAGUGGCGAACGGGUGAGUAACACGUGAGCAAUCUGCCCUUGACUCUGGGAUAACUGCGGGAAACUGUAGCUAAUACCGGAUACUUUCCUUGGUGGGCAUCCACUGGGGAAGAAAGAAUUUCGGUCAAGGAUGAGCUCGCGGCCUAUCAGCUGGUUGGUGAGGUAAUGGCUCACCAAGGCGCCGACGGGUAGCCGGCCUGAGAGGGUGACCGGCCACACUGGAACUGAGACACGGUCCAGACUCCUACGGGAGGCAGCAGUGGGGAAUAUUGCACAAUGGGCGAAAGCCUGAUGCAGCAACACCGCGUGAGGGACGAAGGCCUUCGGGUUGUAAACCUCUUUUAGCAGGGAAGAAGCGAAAGUGACGGUACCUGCAGAAAAAGCACCGGCUAACUACGUGCCAGCCGCCGCCGUAA